Molecule: non-coding RNA, 564 nt
Organism: Nicotiana tabacum (common tobacco)
Lineage: Eukaryota; Viridiplantae; Streptophyta; Magnoliopsida; Solanales; Solanaceae
Source: RefSeq, a predicted model, not a curated record
UUUCUCUUCUUUAGAAGAGAGUUUUUCGACAUGUAUGCUUAGAAACAAGCUUGAGGCUAUUUCAGUCAUUUCUCAUCAGCUAUAUACGUGCCCUUUGGUGCUCUUCCCAGAUAUACGUGUAGGUUUUCUGCUACUCCAUAUGUAUGCUUUUCUUCUUUUUCAACAUAAACAUAUUCCUUGGCUAAGCACACACAAGAAAAGGCAUAGAGAAACGAUCCAUCACAAGAUCAAAAUCAGGUAAAUCAGUUUUUACUCUGGGUUGUGGUAGCCGUCUCCUCUGCAUCAUCCUUUCUAGCGAUUCGCUGUGGUUGUUUUCUACCUCUGUUAUUCAGUGGCACUUGAACCGAAAGGAAAUAGAUGCGUGAAUAUGUCGAGUAAAAAUCAUAAAAAUGAAAGUUGUGAAAAAAUAUAUGCUGACAAGAAGGCUAGGCGACGCGAAUUAUACAAGAUGAUGCAAGACGAUAAAAAGGAGGCUCUCCUAGUGCGAGCACGCGCACGAGCAAGUAAGGACGAAACAAGUGGUCGGCAACUUCCUGUUUGCUCACUAAUUAAUAGCUCUCUUAU